RNAcentral lists this long non-coding RNA (1042 nucleotides) under Marmota monax (woodchuck). Lineage: Eukaryota; Metazoa; Chordata; Mammalia; Rodentia; Sciuridae. The record is from RNAcentral.
CAAUGGAAUAUUUUAGAGUUCUUUGAUAUAUAUAAAAUUUAUGUGAACAUCUUUUAAAACAUACAAGAAAUUCUUUUUCUAGGAAUAAAAUUGUCAUAGCCUAUUAUUUUAUAGAGUAGUGGUUUCAUAUUUUUGAAUAGUCUGUCUUUCCAUUUCAUUACUUUUUAUUAGAUUUUGCUAUGUCGCCCUGGGGGGAAAAUAACUUAAAGAUCUGUAUAUUACAUACAUGCUUCAAUAUAAUCAAGCAUUAAAAAAUGAUUAAGGAACCAGUCUGUCUAUAUAGAUCUGUAAAGAAUAGUGCCACAAAAAAUGCUAUAUAGUUUUCAGUUCACAUUGACUAAUUUUGGUAAACCAGACCUAUUGGAAGAUUUUUCUGAGUGGAAGCAAACGUUUUCUGUCAACUUCCAGUAAUUUCCCAUGUUUAUUGUUUUGUGUGAAGUAAUAAAUGUGUUCAUUAAAUUUUAACUGUAUCAUGUAGGAAACAUGGUCUGAACAAUCAGGUAAAGCCAACAGAAAGGUUAAUUAAAGGGUUUUAUUUUUUUGGUUUACUUUUUUUGGUUUUGGCGGAUGUAGGGCAAAGAAUGUGGGAGGAGUUACAUUGGUUUAAGUUUGUAAUGUCCUUGUUUACAAAUGACAGUUUUCCCAAUUAGGUAUUAUAUGUUGUUAUAAUUUAUAUCAGAAAUAGUAAAUAUAAACCUUACUAGACUUUUCUGACACUAAAAUUUCAACACUUCUAGAAAAAUUUUUACAUAUAAGAACUUCUGAGACAGAUGGUAGGGACAAUUUUAAUAGACUAUAAAAUAUUAAAUUCUCUUAAAAUGUGUAUUGUGGCUGGGUGGUGUGUGCCCAUAAUCCCAGCAGCUCUGGAGGCUGAGGCAGGAGGCUCAUUCAAAGCCAGCAUAAGCAACAUAGCAAGGCCCUAAGCAACUUGGUGAGAUCCUGCCUCAAAAAAAAAAAAAAAAAAAAAAAAAAAAAAGGGCUGGGGAUGUGGAUUAGUAGUUAAGAACCCUGGGUUUAAUCCCUGGUAGCAAGUGUUGUGUUG